This 514-nucleotide ribosomal RNA is filed under the name uncultured bacterium. RNAcentral's name for it is "partial 16S ribosomal RNA". It matches the Rfam family "Bacterial small subunit ribosomal RNA", at positions 28 to 523 of the family's 1533-position model. The record is from RNAcentral.
GACGAACGCUGGCGGCGUGCCUAAUACAUGCAAGUCGAGCGGAUGAAAGAGGAGCUUGCUCCUCUAGAUUCAGCGGCGGACGGGUGAGUAACACGUGGGCAACCUGCCCUGUAGAUUGGGAUAACUCCGGGAAACCGGGGCUAAUACCGAAUAAUCCUUCGGACCUCAUGGUCCGAUGUUGAAAGACGGUUCCGGCUGUCACUACAUGAGCGGUCCGCGGCGCAGUAGCUAGUUGGUGAGGUAACGGCUCACCAAGGCCACGAUGCGUAGCCGACCUGAGAGGGUGAUCGGCCACACUGUGACUGAGACACGGCCCAGACUCCUACGGGAGGCAGCAGUAGGGAAUCUUCCACAAUGGACGAAAGUCUGAUGGAGCAACGCCGCGUGAGUGAAGAAGGUUCUCGGAUCGUAAAACUCUGUUGUGAGGGAAGAACAAGUACCGGAGUAACUGCCGGUGCCUUGACGGUACCUCAUUAGAAAGCCACGGCUAACUACGUGCCAGCAGCCGCAGUAA